RNAcentral lists this long non-coding RNA (340 nucleotides) under Glycine max (soybean). RNAcentral's name for it is "long non-coding RNA (GMAX_LNC000394)". The record is from RNAcentral. Lineage: Eukaryota; Viridiplantae; Streptophyta; Magnoliopsida; Fabales; Fabaceae.
UCCAAUAAAAAAUACUUAUAAUUAUAAAAAAAAAUACUAUUGGUUAGUUCUCCGAUGCUAGCUCGUUUAAAUAUAUACUACAGAUAUAUAAUUCGGCUACCAAAAUUCAGCAAUGCAUCUAUAGUUCUUGACCACGAAAUGACUCAAUUAAAUGAGUUCAUCAUCUGUGCAAGUUGCUCAUUCAUUGGCAUAUGUAUAAUUUAGGUUGCAUGGUAAAAGCAAGAACAUUGUCUUCCAUUUGUGUUGUACCUUCUCAUAUCAACGUUUCACUCUCACAGGCUGAGGCUUCAUAAGUAUUAUCUCCCCAUGCCGUGUCUCUGCGUGCUGAAGUUCUUUCAUU